RNAcentral lists this ribosomal RNA (251 nucleotides) under uncultured prokaryote. Its description in RNAcentral is "partial 16S ribosomal RNA". It matches the Rfam family "Bacterial small subunit ribosomal RNA", at positions 525 to 775 of the family's 1533-position model. The record is from RNAcentral.
ACGUAGGACGCAAGCGUUAUCCGGAAUUACUGGGCGUAAAGGGCGUGCAGGCGGUUUCCUAAGUCAGGCGUGAAAGCCACGGGCUAAACCUGGGGAGGACGUUUGAUACUGGGGGACUAGAGUGUGGUAGAGGGGUGUAGAAUUCCGGGUGUAGUGGUGAAAUGCGUAGAUAUCCGGAGGAAUACCAGUGGCGAAGGCGGCACCCUGGACGACACCAGACGCUGAGACGCGACAGCGCGGGGAGCGAACGG